GACGCUUAUGCGUUGUUGGGUAGGGGAGCGUUCUGUAAGCCUGUGAAGGUGUGCUGUGAGGCAUGCUGGAGGUAUCAGAAGUGCGAAUGCUGACAUAAGUAACGAUAAAGCGGGUGAAAAGCCCGCUCGCCGGAAGACCAAGGGUUCCUGUCCAACGUUAAUCGGGGCAGGGUGAGUCGACCCCUAAGGCGAGGCCGAAAGGCGUAGUCGAUGGGAAACAGGUUAAUAUUCCUGUACUUGGUGUUACUGCGAAGGGGGGACGGAGAAGGCUAUGUUGGCCGGGCGACGGUUGUCCCGGUUUAAGCGUGUAGGCUGGUUUUCCAGGCAAAUCCGGAAAAUCAAGGCUGAGGCGUGAUGACGAGGCACUACGGUGCUGAAGCAACAAAUGCCCUGCUUCCAGGAAAAGCCUCUAAGCAUCAGGUAACAUCAAAUCGUACCCCAAACCGACACAGGUGGUCAGGUAGAGAAUACCAAGGCGCUUGAGAGAACUCGGGUGAAGGAACUAGGCAAAAUGGUGCCGUAACUUCGGGAGAAGGCACGCUGAUAUGUAGGUGAAGUCCCUCGCGGAUGGAGCUGAAAUCAGUCGAAGAUACCAGCUGGCUGCAACUGUUUAUUAAAAACACAGCACUGUGCAAACACGAAAGUGGACGUAUACGGUGUGACGCCUGCCCGGUGCCGGAAGGUUAAUUGAUGGGGUCAGCGCAAGCGAAGCUCUUGAUCGAAGCCCCGGUAAACGGCGGCCGUAACUAUAACGGUCCUAAGGUAGCGAAAUUCCUUGUCGGGUAAGUUCCGACCUGCACGAAUGGCGUAAUGAUGGCCAGGCUGUCUCCACCCGAGACUCAGUGAAAUUGAACUCGCUGUGAAGAUGCAGUGUACCCGCGGCAAGACGGAAAGACCCCGUGAACCUUUACUAUAGCUUGACACUGAACAUUGAGCCUUGAUGUGUAGGAUAGGUGGGAGGCUUAGAAGUGUGGACGCCAGUCUGCAUGGAGCCGACCUUGAAAUACCACCCUUUAAUGUUUGAUGUUCUAACGUUGACCCGUAAUCCGGGUUGCGGACAGUGUCUGGUGGGUAGUUUGACUGGGGCGGUCUCCUCCUAAAGAGUAACGGAGGAGCACGAAGGUUGGCUAAUCCUGGUCGGACAUCAGGAGGUUAGUGCAAUGGCAUAAGCCAGCUUGACUGCGAGCGUGACGGCGCGAGCAGGUGCGAAAGCAGGUCAUAGUGAUCCGGUGGUUCUGAAUGGAAGGGCCAUCGCUCAACGGAUAAAAGGUACUCCGGGGAUAACAGGCUGAUACCGCCCAAGAGUUCAUAUCGACGGCGGUGUUUGGCACCUCGAUGUCGGCUCAUCACAUCCUGGGGCUGAAGUAGGUCCCAAGGGUAUGGCUGUUCGCCAUUUAAAGUGGUACGCGAGCUGGGUUUAGAACGUCGUGAGACAGUUCGGUCCCUAUCUGCCGUGGGCGCUGGAGAACUGAGGGGGGCUGCUCCUAGUACGAGAGGACCGGAGUGGACGCAUCACUGGUGUUCGGGUUGUCAUGCCAAUGGCACUGCCCGGUAGCUAAAUGCGGAAGAGAUAAGUGCUGAAAGCAUCUAAGCACGAAACUUGCCCCGAGAUGAGUUCUCCCUGACUCCUUGAGAGUCCUGAAGGAACGUUGAAGACGACGACGUUGAUAGGCCGGGUGUGUAAGCGCAGCGAUGCGUUGAGCUAACCGGUACUAAUGAACCGUGAGGCUUAACCUUACAACGCCGAAGCUGUU
RNAcentral lists this ribosomal RNA (1754 nucleotides) under Escherichia coli. Its description in RNAcentral is "partial 23S ribosomal RNA". It matches the Rfam family "Bacterial large subunit ribosomal RNA", at positions 1210 to 2925 of the family's 2925-position model. Lineage: Bacteria; Pseudomonadati; Pseudomonadota; Gammaproteobacteria; Enterobacterales; Enterobacteriaceae. The record is from RNAcentral.